This 1119-nucleotide long non-coding RNA is filed under the name Lactuca sativa (garden lettuce). Its description in RNAcentral is "long non-coding RNA (LSAT_LNC006510)". The record is from RNAcentral. Lineage: Eukaryota; Viridiplantae; Streptophyta; Magnoliopsida; Asterales; Asteraceae.
AUUGAACUCUCUUAUCCCUUUGAUCUUCUUUUGGUAACCUAUUUGGUAAAGUGAAGAGAUGAUGUCCGUCACUCUGGGAGAGAUAAACUUGGUAGAAGGAUGAACCAGUAGAUUGAUUGCAGUUAAGAACUUAUCUUUGGUCAAGAUGACCAGAGAAUCAUCCAUUAAGUUCAGAUGAACUUCUUGCAGAUUGUUGAGGGGACGAUACGCCGAGAAUGCACAUUUAAAGAGUGUUAACAUUGGAACCACAUCAGUGAAGGAAUCAAAGGGUCCAAACAGUGGGUGAUUGGUGAUGAACCUGAUCAUGAAUUGAAUAGACUCAUUGUAGGAGGAAUGAUCUUAAAAGAUUGCCCUAAAGGUGCUUGAGGCGAUGGAUGGCGAUUAGUUCCUUGUGGCGGAAUCAGAACUAGCGGGUUGUGCAUAACCUGAAGCUUUGGAUUGCUUCUUUGAGAUGCCAGACUUCACCAUUUUUGAAAAGAGUUUGUAGAACUUGUAGAAAACUUGAGUGCAAGAAGGUGAAGAAGAUGAAGAUCGUCUAAGAGGGUUCAGAAAGCGUAAUGCUUUCUUGGAAGAGAGAAAAAGGUUUUAUAGGGGCGGAUUUCAAAAUUUUAUUGUUUUUACCCUAUAUGUGGCGGUUAAAUAUAANGAAUGUAUUGAAGGAAAUCAUCCCAUAAGAUCUGGCCAUAGUUAGCGUCGUGGCCUGUGAAGAUACUCCAGACUAGCUCCAACAGUUUGAGGCCCAUGUUGUCAGUGCCUACGGUUCUUCCUGAUAGACCGUGGAUCACAUAGUGACAAACGAACAGCCAGACCGUAGGGAGUUGGUUUUUAUUGAACUCUCUUAUCCCUUUGAUCUUCUUUUGGUAACCUAUUUGGUAAAGUGAAGAGAUGAUGUCCGUCACUCUGGGAGAGAUAAACUUGGUAGAAGGAUGAACCAGUAGAUUGAUUGCAGUUAAGAACUUAUCUUUGGUCAAGAUGACCAGAGAAUCAUCCAUUAAGUUCAGAUGAACUUCUUGCAGAUUGUUGAGGGGACGAUACGCCGAGAAUGCACAUUUAAAGAGUGUUAACAUUGGAACCACAUCAGUGAAGGAAUCAAAGGGUCCAAACAGUGGGUGAUUGGUG